RNAcentral lists this ribosomal RNA (388 nucleotides) under uncultured bacterium. RNAcentral's name for it is "bacterial SSU rRNA". It matches the Rfam family "Bacterial small subunit ribosomal RNA", at positions 28 to 417 of the family's 1533-position model. The record is from RNAcentral.
GACGAACGCUGGCGGCGUGCUUAACACAUGCAAGUCGAGCGGUAAGGCCCUUUCGGGGGUACACGAGCGGCGAACGGGUGAGUAACACGUGGGUGACCUGCCCUCAGCUCUGGGAUAAGCCUGGGAAACCGGGUCUAAUACCGGAUAUGACUCCAUGACGCAUGUUGUGGGGUGGAAAGCCUUGUGCGGCUGAGGAUGGGCCCGCGGCCUAUCAGCUUGUUGGUGGGGUGAUGGCCUACCAAGGCGACGACGGGUAGCCGGCCUGAGAGGGCGACCGGCCACACUGGGACUGAGACACGGCCCAGACUCCUACAGGAGGCAGCAGUGGGGAAUAUUGGACAAUGGGCGCAAGCCUGAUCCAGCCAUGCCGCGUGAGUGAUGAAGGCCU